UGGACAUAUCACAUUGAAACAACGGUGGUUCUCGUCUGAUCACUGGCGUUAAGUAGCAUUGAGCCUGGUCAAUACGUGGAUGGGUGACCACUUGGGAAUAACAAGUACUGUAAG
Acanthosepion pharaonis is the source of this 114-nucleotide non-coding RNA. NCBI's taxonomy places the organism in Eukaryota, Metazoa, Mollusca, Cephalopoda, Sepiida, Sepiidae. The record is from the annotation of a GenBank genome assembly.